ACGAACUGUGCAAACGUUAUUCGGAAUCACUGGGCUUAAAGGGUGCGUAGGCGGCUUAUCAAGUAGGGUGUGAAAGCCCCCGGCUUAACCGGGGAAUUGCGCCCUAAACUGACGAGCUGGAGUGGGACAGGGGUGUGUGGAACUUCCGGUGGAGCGGUGAAAUGUGUUGAUAUCGGAAGGAACGCCGGUGGCGAAAGCGACACACUGGGUCUCAACUGACGCUGAGGCACGAAAGCCAGGGGAGCGAACGGGA
RNAcentral lists this ribosomal RNA (253 nucleotides) under uncultured prokaryote. RNAcentral's name for it is "partial 16S ribosomal RNA". It matches the Rfam family "Bacterial small subunit ribosomal RNA", at positions 525 to 777 of the family's 1533-position model. The record is from RNAcentral.